Molecule: ribosomal RNA, 485 nt
Filed under: uncultured bacterium
Lineage: Bacteria
Description: partial 16S ribosomal RNA
Rfam family: Bacterial small subunit ribosomal RNA
Source: RNAcentral
AGUGAACGCUGGCGGCGUGCUUAACACAUGCAAGUCGAACGAGAACGGGAUAUAGCUUGCUAUAUUUGUCAGCUAAGUGGCGCACGGGUGAGUAAUGUAUAGAUAACCUGCCCUCUAGAAAGGAAUAACAGUUGGAAACGACUGCUAAUGCCCUAUAUGCCUUUAAUACAUAAGUAUGCAAGGGAAACGCUUUAGUGCUAGAGGAUGGGUCUGUAUGGUAUCAGCUUGUUGGUGAGGUAAUGGCUCACCAAGGCUAUGACGCCUAACUGGUUUGAGAAGAUGUUCAGUCACACUGGAACUGAGACACGGUCCAGUCUCCUACGUGAGGCAACAGUGGGGAAUAUUGCACAAUGGACGAAAGUCGGAUGCAGCAACGCCACGUGGAGGAUGACACAUUUCGGUGCGUAAACUCCUUUUAUAUAGGAAGAUAAUUACGGUACUAUAUGAAUAAGCACCGGCUAACUCCGUGCCAGCCGCCGCCGUAA